This 101-nucleotide small nucleolar RNA is filed under the name Gossypium arboreum. RNAcentral describes it as "Plant small nucleolar RNA R71". It matches the Rfam family "Plant small nucleolar RNA R71". From Rfam's summary of the family: R71 is a member of the C/D box family of snoRNAs containing the C (UGAUGA) and D (CUGA) box motifs. Multiple nearly identical copies of this snoRNA have been identified in Arabidopsis, and it is thought to function as a 2'-O-ribose methylation guide for 18S ribosomal RNA. The record is from Rfam by way of RNAcentral. Lineage: Eukaryota; Viridiplantae; Streptophyta; Magnoliopsida; Malvales; Malvaceae.
AGGUCAUAGUGAGAACACCUUCUCAAAAAAUCCUUAAAUCUCUCCCGUGUAUCAUAAAGAAUAUUAAACUAAACAAAAGAAGAUAUGUCAUUCCUCAACUU